This 236-nucleotide ribosomal RNA is filed under the name uncultured bacterium. Its description in RNAcentral is "partial 16S ribosomal RNA". It matches the Rfam family "Bacterial small subunit ribosomal RNA", at positions 118 to 347 of the family's 1533-position model. The record is from RNAcentral.
UGAGGAACAUGACCUUCGGCGGGGAUAGCCGGCCCAACGGCCGGGUAAUACCGCGUACGACCACUCGGGGACAUCCCCAGGUGGUGAAAGCAGCAAUGCGCCGAUGGAGUGCCUCGCGGCCUAUCAGCUAGUUGGUGUGGGUAAUGGCUCACCAAGGCGGCGACGGGUAGCCGGCCUGAGAGGGCGAUCGGCCACACUGGGACUGAGACACGGCCCAGACUCCUACGGGAGNAGCG